GGGGAAUAUUGGACAAUGGGCGCAAGCCUGAUCCAGCCAUACCGCGUGGGUGAAGAAGGCCUUCGGGUUGUAAAGCCCUUUUGUUGGGAAAGAAAUCCAGCCGGCUAAUACCUGGUGGGGAUGACGGUACCCAAAGAAUAAGCACCGGCUAACUUCGUGCCAGCAGCCGCGGUAAUACGAAGGGUGCAAGCGUUAUUCGGAAUUACUGGGCGUAAAGCGUGCGUAGGUGGUCGUUUAAGUCCGUUGUGAAAGCCCUGGGCUCAACCUGGGAACUGCAGUGGAUACUGGGCGACUAGAGUGUGGUAGAGGGUAGCGGAAUUCCGAGUGUAGAGGUGAAAUUCGUAGAUAUUCGGAGGAACACCAGUGGCGAAGGCGGCUCACUGGACCAUUACUGACGCUGAGGUGCGAAAGCAUGGGGAGCAAACA
RNAcentral lists this ribosomal RNA (426 nucleotides) under uncultured Stenotrophomonas sp. Its description in RNAcentral is "bacterial SSU rRNA". It matches the Rfam family "Bacterial small subunit ribosomal RNA", at positions 356 to 774 of the family's 1533-position model. The record is from RNAcentral. Lineage: Bacteria; Pseudomonadati; Pseudomonadota; Gammaproteobacteria; Lysobacterales; Lysobacteraceae.